AGUGCAAUUGAUGGGUCGUAUAGUAAGAGAAUGUUUAGCUUUGUAAGAAUUUGCCAAACUGUCUACUAAAGGAACUCUGUCAUUCUGCAUUCCCACUAACAAU
Molecule: microRNA precursor, 103 nt
Filed under: Marmota monax (woodchuck)
Lineage: Eukaryota; Metazoa; Chordata; Mammalia; Rodentia; Sciuridae
Source: RNAcentral